UCAUCACCACCUCCGCUGCUCCAGCCUCCACUCCGCCAUCACCUCUGCUCCACCUCCACUCCGCCACCACCUCCGACAUCAUCAUCAACAUCACAAACAAAACCCCCACAUCAAAACCCCCAAAACGAAAACCCUAAAAUCGAAAACCCUAAAUCGAUCGGAAACGAACACCCCAAAUCGAUCAAAGUUCAUAGAGAGAGAGUAGAGAGAGAGUGGAGGUGCAGAUUGUCUGUGUGGUGUGUGUUAAAACCUAGAAGAAGAAGAGGUUUUAUAUAAAAGAAAAAACAAACCCUCUUCUCCUUACAGACUGAAGACAUUUGGUCCACCUCUUCUCCUGCAGAUGCCUACAGAUGUGGCCUGCAGCAGAAGAGGUUUUCAAGAAGAAAAAACAAACAGCACCUUGGUGUUCUUGAUGUUGAAAUCAUUAUAUAUUUAA
This 436-nucleotide long non-coding RNA is filed under the name Helianthus annuus (common sunflower). Lineage: Eukaryota; Viridiplantae; Streptophyta; Magnoliopsida; Asterales; Asteraceae. The record is from RNAcentral.